AGUGAACGCUGGCGGUAGGCCUAACACAUGCAAGUCGAACGGCAGCACAGUAAGAGCUUGCUCUUACGGGUGGCGAGUGGCGGACGGGUGAGGAAUACAUCGGAAUCUACUUUUUCGUGGGGGAUAACGUAGGGAAACUUACGCUAAUACCGCAUACGACCUACGGGUGAAAGCAGGGGAUCUUCGGACCUUGCGCGAUUGAAUGAGCCGAUGUCGGAUUAGCUAGUUGGCGGGGUAAAGGCCCACCAAGGCGACGAUCCGUAGCUGGUCUGAGAGGAUGAUCAGCCAGACUGGAACUGAGACACGGUCCAGACUCCUACGGGAGGCAGCAGUGGGGAAUAUUGGACAAUGGGCGCAAGCCUGAUCCAGCCAUACCGCGUGGGUGAAGAAGGCCUUAGGGUUGUAAAGCCCUUUUGUUGGGAAAGAAAAGCAGCAGGUUAAUACCCCGCUGUUCUGACGGUACCCAAAGAAUAAGCACCGGCUAACUUCGUG
This 492-nucleotide ribosomal RNA is filed under the name uncultured bacterium. RNAcentral describes it as "partial 16S ribosomal RNA". It matches the Rfam family "Bacterial small subunit ribosomal RNA", at positions 29 to 507 of the family's 1533-position model. The record is from RNAcentral.